AAAGAGAAGCGGGACUUUCCUUGCUGUCUAUUUUUUCUUCGUCAGGCCAACGCCGCUUGCUUGCAGGGGCGCAGGCGAGUUCCCGCCAAAUGGCGCGGGUGCGUGAGUUGCCGCCAAAUGCUAGCUCUGGAUGCCAGCUCGUUCCGCGUCUCAUGGUAGACUAGUUGGUGCAUUUCUGUUAUCAUGGACUGCGCUUAUAAACGCAAGCUACACAAAAGUGACAUGGACAAGAACAGCGCAAGCCCUUUACAUGCAGUGGAGCCGCCGUAUCUCGCCGUUCAAGAUAUGCGUACUCGAAGAAAAAAAAAAAGAGGCUUUACAUGAGAACGGAUCAAGCGUUCGAGAGUUGGGACAGGGAAAUGUGAGACGUACUUUCAUGUAUAUAUUUCUAAUAUUAUUUUUUCGUCUUGUAUUCUCGUUAAUUUUUCUCUAGGAAACACUGGAACGACACUGCUUAAAUUGAAGCACAGUGUGCGAAUGACCUGCUACGCUCGGAACUGUUAUCACCAUUCGGGAAGAAAUUGGAUGAAAAAACAUAACUGUAAAUACCUGUAUGAUAUACGUCUGGUGCAUUGCAGGUAAGAAUGGAUUGUGUGUGGCGCGCUUCACCGCAUGUGGACUACAGUAGAUCUAGGAACAUCAGACAAGAAGACACGUAUGUGAAACCCUGCGGAUAGCCCAUAUGUAAGUUCUUCCUCAAUUUUUCUUUUGUUGCAUUUUCGUAGUUUACGUGUAAUACUUUGUCACCGCGGUCUCGACGUUAUGUAUACCUAUACAUUUGUCUCGUGGCAGUCUGCGUGCUAUUUUGUUUGUGCAACUAUGUGUUGUAUUCAUUUAUCGCGCUGCCUGGAGGGUUUUUUUUUUUUUCACUGAUAUUCCGACCAAAGUCGGUAAACCUAUCCUUCCUGUCCUCAUGUUUCCUUGGGCGGCUCUAAAGCGUAUCUUAGAGGAAUAUUUAGCUUCAGAUUCCCGCAUGGAACAGAUGGUGAAUGACAUGCUGUGUUUUCUUUUUAGAGAAACUAUGUAUUCAUGUUUAAUAUUUGGUUGAUUUUCAUUUUGUCAUUCAUACAAUACCGCAGCCAUAUGCCAUUCUGUCAUAGAACGUUGUUUCUAGAUAUAUUUGUUUUAUGUGGUUAAAACAUUUAAAACGAGAGCGUUUCUUAUCCUGGCCAUUAUUUUUUACAGACCACGAUAACCACGUAUUUGGAUGUCUGGUUUAACUCUACGUGCGCUGGUUCGUGCAGGUGAACUUUUUUUCCAGAUACGGAGGAACGGACACCGGUCGUGCCGUGAGCACUAUUCUGCAGGGCAUACUUACAAAUGAAGCUGCACUGCAGUUCAGCUGGAAAGGGUCGCAGGGGAGGAAGCACGCCUUCGUGAAGCUCAUGGCCAUCACGAAUAUAACAUCUGUGAGGAGCACGUUCCCUGACGCUUCACUAGCAUCAGUGGCUGGAGUCGCAAAACGCUGGUUGGUUGGAGCAGCUGACAGGGAUGGAGGCCGGAAUGAAAGAAGGCGCCGUGACCCUGCUUCAAGCCCACCAAAUAUGAACUAGUGUUUGAAACUUGUGAACGUGUCGGUGUACAUGUACAAUUACAAGAAAUAAAGACCUGUAUCAGAA
Molecule: non-coding RNA, 1619 nt
Organism: Dermacentor andersoni
Lineage: Eukaryota; Metazoa; Arthropoda; Arachnida; Ixodida; Ixodidae
Source: RefSeq, a predicted model, not a curated record